This 2801-nucleotide unclassified non-coding RNA is filed under the name Hevea brasiliensis (rubber tree). Lineage: Eukaryota; Viridiplantae; Streptophyta; Magnoliopsida; Malpighiales; Euphorbiaceae. The record is from RNAcentral.
UGUUGCUCUGAAUCCUUAGAUUGUUCAAUUUGGUCGUUGCCAUGAUUAGUUUUCGAUUUUGUUUGUUCUUCUUUGUUUGCUGGUUCUCGUAGAUCUGCUGACAUUCUAUUUUUUUGUUCUCCAUCUUUGACUUCUGCGCUUAUUAGAGAGGUAUUGUUGAGAUUAGUAAUCCAAUUUUCGAGUUAAUUGUGAUAUUUUAGAUGUGAUUCAAACGUUCAGUAGUUGAUUAGCUGUUCAUGUCCUUCUUUUUUGAGAUUUGCAAGAUCUAUAAAUUUUUUUGUUUCAUUUUUGCUGGAUCUGUCGUUUUGGUUGAGGAUAAUUUUGUGAUUUGGUUGGAUCUUGACAUUUCUCAGCUUUAGUUGUUGUUGUUGUUGUAGUGCUAGCUGAAGGUUUCACUUUUCCCUUUUAUCUUUAAUUUUAUUUUCUUACAAUGAUAAUCACUGCGCGAGUAAUUAAUUUAAAAUGACUUAUAUUAGUUAGGAUUUAUAGAAGAGGAAGCCAGCAAAUCAAGCAUGAUUUUGGGUUGUGGUGAUUUAAUUUAGUUUAGAAAAAUGAUAAUCUAGAAAUGUUUUGUUUCAUUUUGUGAUCCAAUAUGGAGUUCAAAAGUCUAGAUCUAAUAAUGCUUAAAUGUACAUAUCAAAGCUGGUCGUAAAAUAAAAAUGGAUACACAGCUUCUGCUCUAGAAUACAACUUGCUGUCAAAAAAGAAGGAAAAGAAAAAGACGGUGUUCUAAUGAUUCAAAUGUAAAAGGACAAUGUUAUUUAGCGUUGAUUUUUUCACCCACUGUGUUGGAAGUUUGCAAAUUCUAGAUCCAUUCCCUCUUUGUUUUUUUGUAUGCGUAGGUAAGUCAAUUGUCAUGGGAGCACAUAGGAAUCUACUCUGUGUAUUAUUUUUUUCUCCUUCCCUUAUAUAUUUAAGUUUCCUAUGUUUCAGGUGGUAAACUUUGACAAAAAAAAUGGUGAAGAUUUGCUGCAUUGGAGCAGGUUAUGUAGGUGGGCCUACAAUGGCAGUCAUCGCACUCAAGUGCCCAUCAAUUGAAGUGGCCGUAGUUGAUAUCUCUGUCUCUAGGAUCAACGCAUGGAACAGUGAUCAGCUGCCCAUAUAUGAGCCAGGCCUUGAUGGUGUGGUGAAGCAGUGUAGAGGAAAGAACCUUUUCUUUAGCACUGACGUGGAAAACCAUGUUUCAGAUGCUGAUAUAGUCUUUGUAUCUGUUAAUACCCCAACGAAAACCCAAGGGCUUGGAGCUGGCAAAGCAGCUGACUUGACUUAUUGGGAGAGUGCAGCUCGAAUGAUUGCAGAUGUAUCAAAAUCUGAUAAAAUUGUUGUUGAGAAAUCAACUGUCCCUGUGAAAACAGCGGAGGCAAUUGAAAAGAUUUUGACCCACAACAGCAAAGGCAUCAACUUUCAGAUUCUCUCUAACCCUGAGUUCCUUGCUGAAGGAACAGCAAUUCAAGAUCUUCUCCACCCAGACCGAGUGCUUAUCGGUGGUAGGGAGACUCCAGAAGGACAAAAAGCAAUUCAAACAUUGAGAGAUGUUUAUGCCCAUUGGGUCCCUGUGGAACAGAUUAUUUGCACCAAUCUCUGGUCUGCUGAGCUCUCAAAACUUGCUGCAAAUGCCUUUUUGGCACAGAGGAUUUCCUCUGUUAAUGCUAUGUCAGCUCUCUGUGAGGCCACUGGCGCAGAUGUUACCCAAGUUUCACAUGCUGUUGGUAAGGACACAAGAAUCGGACCCAAGUUCUUGAAUGCUAGUGUGGGUUUUGGUGGAUCGUGUUUCCAGAAAGAUAUCUUGAACUUGGUCUAUAUUUGUGAGUGCAAUGGUCUUCCUGAGGUAGCAAAUUACUGGAAACAGGUUAUUAAGGUGAAUGACUACCAAAAGAACCGUUUUGUGAACCGGGUAGUUUCAUCUAUGUUCAACACAGUUUCAGGAAAGAAGAUUGCAAUUUUAGGAUUUGCUUUCAAGAAAGACACUGGUGAUACUAGGGAGACUCCAGCUAUUGAUGUUUGCAAGGGCUUGUUGGGUGACAAAGCUCAUUUGAGCAUCUAUGACCCACAGGUUUCAGAGGAUCAAAUUCAAAGGGAUCUGUCAAUGAAGAAAUUUGAUUGGGAUCAUCCCAUCCAUCUUCAGCCAAUGAGUCCAUCAUCUAUCAAGCAAGUUAGAUGUGUUUGGGAUGCUUAUGAGGCUACAAAGGAUGCUCAUGGUAUCUGCAUUCUUACCGAGUGGGAUGAGUUCAAAACUCUUGAUUAUCAUAAGAUUUAUGAUAACAUGCAGAAGCCUGCAUUUGUUUUCGAUGGGCGCAAUGUCGUGGAUGCUGAUAAGCUCAGGAAAAUUGGGUUCAUUGUUUACUCCAUUGGCAAGCCACUGGAUCCAUGGCUGAAGGACAUGCCUGCUGUUGCAUAAACGCCAAAUUGGAUAACUUGAAGUAGCUUGUGGCCGGUUGUAGAAACGUAUAUGAUAGGCAUAUACAAUUAUCACCUUAUUAAUUUUCCCCUUCAACCAUUUAUUAUCGUCUAGCUUUGCAAUUUAGUUUGUUAUUUUUGUAUUGGGUACCAUUAUACAAUUAUGUUCUGGUACAUCUCCAUUAGUAGAAAAUUUGAAUAUGGUAUUCUUAUUGGUUUACAUAUAACAUAAGAAAGCAUAAAAUUUGUUCAGAUUUUUUUUUUUAAAAAAGAAUAAAACUUCCUCAUAAUGUUCUACUUUCUACUAGAUCAAUUUUGUUUUCCUUUUUCUUAUGUGGAAAAUUCUCAAUCCACGAUGCACAUUAGUGAUAUAGAUGCAGAAAGACUUUUAAUAUAGAGAUCAA